RNAcentral lists this ribosomal RNA (690 nucleotides) under Triticum aestivum (bread wheat). RNAcentral describes it as "partial small subunit ribosomal RNA". The record is from RNAcentral. Lineage: Eukaryota; Viridiplantae; Streptophyta; Magnoliopsida; Poales; Poaceae.
AUGAUGCCUAGUCCUUCUUACAAAGAUGAGCAGGGAAUUCAAGACAUUAGGCGGUUCGUGGGAAGAGUUUUCUCAACAGGGAUCAUCAAAAUAAGAAACCGUUCACACGACUCUCGCCUCGCCCGCACGACUCCCCCGCGCCGUUCCUCCUCCCGCAGCCGGGCGCGGGCCGCAGGUCGCGAGCCGCCGCCGGAGCCUCCCUUCGCCGCGGGCCGCGGUCGCCGCCGCACCCUUCGCCGCAGUUCACCGCCCGAGCCGCCGCGCCCUUCGCCGCAGUUCACCGCCCGAGCCGCCGCGCCCUUCGCCGCGGGCCACAGGCCGCCGGAGCCGCCCUUCGCCGCGGGCCGCGAUCGCCGCCGCGCCCUUCGCCACCGCGCCCUCCGCUUCUAUUUCACGCUCGCCGACGGGCCAACCACCACCGCCACGGGAAGCCCCGAUGAGAUCGCCAAGCUGUUCCCCAACUUGUACGGCCAGCCUUCGGCCGAGCCGGCCGCAAUGAAGUUGCUCAAGAUCAGUCGUCGUGCUUUCUGGGGAGGCCCGGCUGGUGUCAUGAAGGGAACACAAGAGCUCUACCCCAGCAUGGCUUCCCCAUCUCUGGUCGUCCUCUUGCAUUCCUCCAUUGGUGGCUGGGAAGAUGGGCCACCACCGAAGCCGCUCCCAGUAAUCGCCAAACUGUACCUGCUAGAUUAA